GAGGCCCUGGCGGCGCCCGAGCCCGCGAUGUCGGGCCCCAACGGGGACCUGGGCGUGCCGGUGGAGGCGGGCGCGGAGGGCGAGGACGACGGCUUCGGGGAAGCAGAAUACGCUGCCAUCAAUUCCAUGUUGGACCAGAUCAACUCCUGUCUAGACCACCUGGAGGAGAAGAAUGACCACCUCCACGCCCGCCUCCAGGAGCUGCUCGAGUCCAACCGGCAGGCGCGCCUGGAGUUCCAGCAGCAGCUAGGGGAGGCCCCCAGCGAUGCCGGCCCCUAGGCCCGCGAGCCCCCCGCCCCGCCUCCCGGGGUCAGACCAUGGCCUGAGCCCUACCACCCAGCUCAGAUACCUUCUCCAGGGCAGCCACUGGGUCCCCCGGUGGGCCUGUCUGCGUGGCCACCCUCUGACACGCCCCUGCCUGGGCCAGCGCCCAUCAUCCAGCAUCUCCUGGGGCCAGGGGCGGACCUGCAACCCACCUGCCUUGCCUGUCUGCCGAGUCCUGGGCACUCCCCACUCUGCCCAGGCUUUAAGUGCCCACAUUAAACCGGCCUCCAACACCACUUCACCUCUGUCCUCUGUAUCUUGGGAGAAGGACUCCAGUGCCCGCCAGAGGGGAACCGGCCGUCACUCACCUGCGGCUCACGGCCUAGUGGUGGGGCUGGCAAGGCUCCCACCUACCUGUCGUAUCCCCAGCCUGGCUGAGCUCCCAGCGUGCUGUGAGUGAGGACAUGCUCCCCUCUCUGGGUACUAGGUUUUCACUUUAGUACCGAGACGUGCUGUGCAACCUGGGCAGUGCCCUCCUGCUCGUGGCCUCAGUCUCCCCAGCCGGCCAGUCACAGGCCUGGUCUGGUGGGCUGUCUCUUAGGGUGCUUCCAGAUGAGGAAAUAGCAGAAGUAAAGAGCUGAGUGAGCCUGGGCUGCAUUCCCAGCGAUUCAUCAUGGUUGCCUGACGAGAAGGGCAGGCACCCCAUUAGUGAACCCAGCACAGAAUCAGGCCAGAGCCGAGGGCCCCUUUGUACUUGUUUCCAUGGGGUCCAGCUGGAGAGGCCAGCACCCGGGUUCAGAGCCUGCGCCCUAGGUCAUCCUGGCCACUUAACCAGAUGUAUGAUCUUUGCAGGCUACUUGACGGUACCAGACCUCAGUUUCAUCUGUAACUUGGGGAUAGCAACCAAGACGUACCCCCAGGCACUGUGAAGAUUAAAUGAGAUCUGACUUGAAGUGGCCGUAAUCCACACCAGGUGUGCCCACACUAUCAUCUACUGAAGCCUGUUAACAACCCUCUGUGACCCACUCAUUUUACAGAAGAGGAUACAGGCCCAGGGUCACACAGCUGCUUUGUGGAGGACUGAACCCUCCCCACGGUCAACCGUAAGCCCCUAAGUUCCAACCUGAUACUGCAGGUCCUCGGCCCAGGGAGUCAGAUUCACCCACUGGAAGUAAGCCCUUCCAGACGAGGUCCUGCGGCCCCAGCCACAUCAGCCUGCCUGCCCGGCAGUGCCCUCCACCACUCAGCAGGCAAACAAAUGAGCUUCUAGGAAGGCUACCACCCCAACUCCCACACCGGGCUGCAGCGUUGCCUCGCAGCCCGACCUGGAACUGUCAGAGCUGGGCAGAGGAAACAGACUGAGAGGCACCCUGGGAGGCAGGAGCAGCAUGUGCAAAGGCUCAGAGGAGGCUACCCACAGAGAAUGCUCCUGGAAAGCAAAAGGCUGGUGUGUUCCAGGGCUUGCCCAACCUAUGCCACAGCCAAGAUCUGCAUCGCUUAUGCCUGGCUCCCCG
Talpa occidentalis (Iberian mole) is the source of this 1778-nucleotide RNA transcript. It is a transcript of the gene named bublin coiled coil protein, with no coding region annotated. The record is from RefSeq and is a predicted model, not a curated record. NCBI's taxonomy places the organism in Eukaryota, Metazoa, Chordata, Mammalia, Eulipotyphla, Talpidae. The transcript is spliced from 3 exons.